Poecilia latipinna (sailfin molly) is the source of this 2515-nucleotide long non-coding RNA. RefSeq lists it as uncharacterized. NCBI's taxonomy places the organism in Eukaryota, Metazoa, Chordata, Actinopteri, Cyprinodontiformes, Poeciliidae. The transcript is spliced from 2 exons. The record is from RefSeq and is a predicted model, not a curated record.
UUUCUGAACUUUAUAAUGUUUUUAUAUGAACUCAGAUUGUUUUACGUGUUUUUAUUGUUUUUAUCAUCUGAACCAUUAAAGACGUUCUAAGAACUCAUCACAGAUGUUCUGGUUCCAUGAAUAUCGGGUCCAUUGUGGUUCUGUUGGGUCGGGGUUCUGUAGAACCCAGUCUUGGUGGUUCUGAAUGGUUCCAGUUUGUGGCCACUGGGGGGCGCCAGAUCUCCACCACCACACAGUGAAGGCUCUGUUGGUUCUGAGUUGGACCAGGUGAGCACGGCGGGAGGGGGAGGGGUCAGGUGGUUCUGAUCCGGGUUCUGAACAUUCCAGAUGAAAUUUAUCCCUCUGUGGAGGACGGACUGAACAGAACCGGAACCUGCUGUGGACACAGAAGGAUGGGACGGAGCGCCACGCGGCGUUGCCAUGGGAACAGUCCUGAAGCAUCCAUCAGGAGACUCCAGACCGGGCCGGAGGACCCGGUUCUGUUGGUUCAGGUUGGUCACCUCUAGCCCUGAAGCUCCGCCCCCUCAUGUUACACACAGGAACCGGUCCGGGUCGUUACGCAACCGCGCAGGACCCUGUGAUCCAAAUGAAACAGAACCCACUGAGCAUGUGGUUCUGAUGAGUUUACCAAACACCUGAAGCUCCAACGUGUUCUGCCGUUACAUAACCGGGCCGGCGCAGGCCCGUUUGAUUCCUCUGUGUGGGCGUGCAGCCGGGCCGGGCGGGACCGUCUGGUUCUGAUUUAACCGAACAAUGAGAGGGACAAAAGUGGACCUCCUCUGACUGGAAACACAUGUGGGCUGGGCUUUGUGGUUCUGCUGGGGAGGCUGACCCGCUUGGUUCUGAAGAAUCUGAGACAUUUUAUGGCAUGUAGUCGUUAUUCCCAAUGUUCACAGACUGAGAACGAUGAAGAGGAGGAAGAGGACGGCAUGGAGGGGGACAGAAUGGUUCCCAGGAAGUUCCUCAGGGGACCGUUAUUGAGGUUGCACAACAUGGUUCUGGGUCAAUGACUGACACAGGGAGAGACCUGAAAUGUUAGAGGUUUGGGUCAGCCAGAACCAGAAGGUUCUCCAUCGUCACAUGACCAGAAGGUUUUUCACCAGACUGACCAGAUCCGGACCAGAGAACCAGAACCUGCUGGGUCUGAAGAACCGUCCUGAACAUGUUCAGCUGGUCUGUAUUACCUUUAGGUAACCGAGACGACAAACCGAACAGGUUCAGCUGACGGUCGAUGUUCUGUGAACGGAUCAGAACAGAAAACCUUCAGAACCGGAUCAGGACCAGAGUCCUGAUGGUGAGGAACCGGUGGAGACCAGAGGAGAGAAAAGUUCCUUCUAAACUGAACAGUUUUACACCAAAAACAUGACAGGAGCGAAGAACCUGUGACAGUUUGGUCUGAACCGGGUCACUGUGACCUCAACACCCAGAGCAUCAUCACACAGUGAGUCAGAACCAAACUGGGACUGAUCCCAGUAUGAACUUGGAUCUGGUCCUGGUGUUCUCACAGCAGAUAAGACCAAACAUUGAGACUCUACUCAGAACCAGCGUCUGUUUGGAUGGAGGAGCAUCUGGAGAAGCUUCAGCUCAGGUUCCACUUCCUGAUCUUCGUCCUGAAAAACGAGGCGUUUGCUCCCAGCGUCCUCCUAAAUCUCUGCUGUGGAAGCGAAGGCCAAACCAUCGUUAUCCCUGCCGGGCCUCGCCAAGAACCCAAACAGCCGUAAAUCCCCAGAGCGGCUCCCAAUCAUCCCGUGUGAAAGGCUUCCUGGCUCCCAGCUCCACUUCCAGGCUCUGCAGGAGGGCUCCAGCACAUUUUUCCACAUUCACACCCAUGAUCCUCAGAUUCCCUCCAAGGUUUUGCUGGAAAAUCUCGGCCCGUUUCCUCACGCUCCAUUUCCCCCGUCAGGCUCCAUAAACCCAGAUUAUCUGCAGAAAAUCACAGGAAGAAAGAAAUAACACUGUUUGACUUUAUGGCUGAAAACAGGUGGAACGUUCCUGUGUGAUCCAUCCAUCCAUCCAUCCAUCCAUCCAUCCAUCCAUCCAUCCAUCCAUCCUUGUGGUUGGUUUAGUGGAUGAGUGAAAGUCCAUCUUCAUCAGGAUGACUCCGUCCCGUUGAUAGGAGCCGCUGAGCCUCUUUGGUUUGACGGCUGCUGAAGUGGAAGUGGAAGCGGCCGCGGCGUGUCCUCUGAUCAGCUGCAGUUCGUCUUCAUUACGACGUGACGCAGCGCCGCUGCAGAUCCAGCGGUUUCCAUCCGCCUGCCGUCCAACUAAAACAUCUCAUCCAUCUUCAUUCUGCUGGAAUCGGAGCCGCAGAUGAAGCUCCAUUCAUCACAGCGUUACUAAUUCAGCUCAAUACAGAUGCAAAAACACUAAAUAAUACCAAGGAGUUCUGGUCCAGUUUCUGCUGAAAAUGCCUCAGUGCUCUGAAAAUAGGAAAACUAACUUAUGAGUCACUUUACUGCAGGUUAACAUCUCGUUUUAAAUCAAUAAUUAAAGUAAAAGUUUUACUGGCAGAUUA